UGGGGAAUAUUGGGCAAUGGGCGAAAGCCUGACCCAGCAACGCCGCGUGAGGGAAGAAGGGUUUCGGCUCGUAAACCUCUGUCCUAUGGGACGAAGGAAGUGACGGUACCAUAGGAGGAAGCCCCGGCUAACUACGUGCCAGCAGCCGCGGUAAUACGUAGGGGGCGAGCGUUGUCCGGAAUGAUUGGGCGUAAAGGGCGCGUAGGCGGCCUGUUAAGUCUGGAGUGAAAGUCCUGCUUUCAAGGUGGGAAUUGCUUUGGAUACUGAUGGGCUGGAGUGCAGGAGAGGAAAGCGGAAUUACCGGUGUAGCGGUGAAAUGCGUAGAGAUCGGUAGGAACACCAGUGGCGAAGGCGGCUUUCUGGACUGAAACUGACGCUGAGGCGCGAAAGCGUGGGGAGCAAACAGGAUUAGAUACCC
Molecule: ribosomal RNA, 418 nt
Filed under: uncultured bacterium
Lineage: Bacteria
Description: bacterial SSU rRNA
Rfam family: Bacterial small subunit ribosomal RNA
Source: RNAcentral